UACGGAAGGUCCGGGCGUUAUCCGGAUUUAUUGGGUUUAAAGGGAGCGCAGGCGGCCUUUUAAGCGUGACGUGAAAUGUGGAUGCUCAACAUCUGAACUGCGUCGCGAACUGGAGGGCUUGAGUGGGUACGACGCCGGCGGAAUUCGUGGUGUAGCGGUGAAAUGCUUAGAUAUCACGAAGAACCCCGAUUGCGAAGGCAGCCGGCGAGUCCUCAACUGACGCUAAAGCUCGAAAGUGCGGGUAU
Molecule: ribosomal RNA, 245 nt
Filed under: uncultured Prevotella sp.
Lineage: Bacteria; Pseudomonadati; Bacteroidota; Bacteroidia; Bacteroidales; Prevotellaceae
Description: partial 16S ribosomal RNA
Rfam family: Bacterial small subunit ribosomal RNA
Source: RNAcentral